Molecule: ribosomal RNA, 684 nt
Filed under: uncultured bacterium
Lineage: Bacteria
Description: bacterial SSU rRNA
Rfam family: Bacterial small subunit ribosomal RNA
Source: RNAcentral
GAGUUUGAUCCUGGCUCAGGACGAACGCUGGCGGCGUGCCUAAUACAUGCAAGUCGAGCGAGCUUGCCUAGAUGAUUUUAGUGCUUGCACUAAAUGAAACUAGAUACAAGCGAGCGGCGGACGGGUGAGUAACACGUGGGUAACCUGCCCAAGAGACUGGGAUAACACCUGGAAACAGAUGCUAAUACCGGAUAACAACACUAGACGCAUGUCUAGAGUUUGAAAGAUGGUUCUGCUAUCACUCUUGGAUGGACCUGCGGUGCAUUAGCUAGUUGGUAAGGUAACGGCUUACCAAGGCAAUGAUGCAUAGCCGAGUUGAGAGACUGAUCGGCCACAUUGGGACUGAGACACGGCCCAAACUCCUACGGGAGGCAGCAGUAGGGAAUCUUCCACAAUGGACGAAAGUCUGAUGGAGCAACGCCGCGUGAGUGAAGAAGGGUUUCGGCUCGUAAAGCUCUGUUGGUAGUGAAGAAAGAUAGAGGUAGUAACUGGCCUUUAUUUGACGGUAAUUACUUAGAAAGUCACGGCUAACUACGUGCCAGCAGCCGCGGUAAUACGUAGGUGGCAAGCGUUGUCCGGAUUUAUUGGGCGUAAAGCGAGUGCAGGCGGUUCAAUAAGUCUGAUGUGAAAGCCUUCGGCUCAACCGGAGAAUUGCAUCAGAAACUGUUGAACUUGAGUGCAGAA